Molecule: RNA transcript, 4063 nt
Organism: Mastomys coucha (southern multimammate mouse)
Lineage: Eukaryota; Metazoa; Chordata; Mammalia; Rodentia; Muridae
Gene: Lime1
Gene name: Lck interacting transmembrane adaptor 1
Exons: 7
Source: RefSeq, a predicted model, not a curated record
AAGAGAAGCAUUCUCCCUUUUCUCCCUUCUCUGACCAAGUGGGUAAGAACCUAGGGUGGCUCUUCAGUCCCAGUACUCACAAACAGGUAGGGUGUGUGAGAUGGAAACACCUUAGGAAUACUAUCGGUGAGAAGUGCAGGCGGGCCUGACUCCGGUGGGUUUGGGGUUCAUUUCUGGUUUUUGGCUGCCAUGGAUAAUCCAUCCAGUUGACCUGCUUUGUUCACCUCAUUAAUGGGUGUCUGCCUCAUUGGGGUGGAGGGGACUGUGCUAGUCUUUGUGAUAAUUGCCUAGUGAUAGCAAAUAGCCAUGAUGAGGUGUGAAGAGAGCAGAGACUGUGGGAGCAACAGCGCAAGAGCUGUGGCUGCUGGGAGGUGCUCUGAGAAACACAGGAAGUGAGGUGAGGCGUCACCAGCAGCCCACAAAGAUCUUCCUGGCUGUCCUAGACAGGGCCAAGCAGCAAAUCCCCGGUGGCCUUGGUAAGUGCUUCCCCCAUCUUCUAUCCUGGGUCAGUCCCCAAGCCUCUCCCUCCAUGCCCUGGGGUCUGGGAGGGUUAGUCCCUGCCUGAUUAGGCCAUUGAUAACUUGGCUGUAGCCAGGUUAGUCAGCUUGGGCCCACUCAGUGAAAGAAGCCUACUCUCAAAGCCUGAACAGACAGCUCCUCACCUCAGAAGACUCUUCACCCUGAUUUUGCUCACCCUGAACUCCUGGGUGAGACCCUAAUAAGCUCUGCUAAGGGCAACUCCAGGGAGGGCAGGAACCCUGGGAAGGGAGGAGUAGGGUGAGAGUACGUGGCCCUCAUAGCAGCCCCUCCUGUUCAUUGACCCCUAACUACUUAGCUUCUGUAGUGAGUAGUCUAGGAACAUUGCCUGACACAGGGGUCACUCCCUGGUCAUUGGUGGCCGGAGGUAAGGUCUGUGGUCUGUGGCUCAAAGUCAGAGUGAUGUCAGAGAUUCCCCAGGUAAUGGGGCUUGAGCUGUAGUGAUACAGCCUUGUUCAGUUGAGGUCAUAGCUGCCCUGACCAUGUUCCUCCAUCUUCAUCUCCAUCUCUGAUAACUAACGGGGUAGGCAGAGCACUUCUUACCAGGAACCCUAGUUAGAGGGAAAGGUGGGUUCCCCUAGGGCAUGGCAAAAAUGCAAGGCUUGGGGGUUUCCGGUGUGCUGAGUCAACCAGGGAGAAGGAACCCACUAGUGGGCAAGAUCUGCAAGUAGGCUGCAGGUGUACACUGGUCUUGCAGUCAGCCCCCAGUGCUCAUCUCUUCUGUCCCCAGGACGCCCUUCCCUGCUUCACAGGAUGAGGCCACCAGUGCCUUCAGCCCCACUAGCUCUCUGGGUCCUGGGCUGCUUCUCCCUGCUCCUUUGGCUAUGGGCACUGUGCACAGCCUGCCACAGGAAGAGAGCUCAGAGGCAGCAAACUGGGCUGCAGGGCAGUUUAGUACCGUUGGAAACGCCACUGCUGAGACAGACCCACCUCUGCUCCCUCAGCAAGUCUGACACCAGACUGCAUGAGCUGCACCGAGGCCCACGUUCCAGCAUAGCCCCACGGCCUGCUAGCAUGGAUCUCCUGCAUCCACACUGGCUAGAGAUGUCCAGGGGCAGUACCAGGUCUCAGGUACCCAACUCUGCCUUCCCACCACGGCAGCUGCCCAGGGCCCCUCCUGCUGCUCCUGCAACUGCACCUUCUACUAGCCCCGAGGCUACUUACUCCAAUGUGGGGCUGGCUGCAAUUCCCAGGGCCAGCCUGGCUGCUAGCCCUGUGGUGUGGGCUGGAACACAGCUGACCAUUAGUUGCACCAGACUUGGUCCUGGGGCCGAAUAUGCCUGCAUCCAGAAGCACAAAGGGACAGAGCAGAGCUGCCAAGAAUUGCAGCAGAAGGCUAAGGUGAUCCCAGCUACUCAGAUGGACAUCUUGUACUCUAGGGUCUGCAAGCCUAAAAGAAGAGACCCAAGACCUGUCACAGACCAGCCGAACCUUCAGGAUGGGAGAACAAUUCUGCCCUUUGGGAGUGAUGUGGAAUAUGAGGCCAUCAAUCUCAGGGGCCAGGAUAUGAAGCAAGGGCCCUUAGAAAAUGUGUAUGAAAGCAUCAAGGAGAUGGGCCCCUGAACAGCUGAGCCCUCACAUCCUGUCUGUUAACAUGAGUUAGGAAGAGUGCCAGGGCUUCUGCUUCAGGAUGGUUUGAUUGCAGAUCCUUCUGUGUCCUUCCACCUCCACAGCUGACAGCACAAAUAUCAGGACCCUUCUAUGAGGUGGUGGCCUAGUUGGCUUGGAGUUCUCAGACCAUGAACCUCAGGAGCUUUGAAAACCAAGGCUGGAGCCUCAGCGCAGCUCCCAAAGCCUUCUGUCCACAUCCCAAUGCCAGUAAAGAGGUGAAGUGGUGGUUGAUACCCCAAGUGUGUGUGUGCGUGUGUGACCCAGUGUGUGCUGAAGUGGUAGAUGCCAGCACAUAAGUCAGUCUUAAGAGGCCUCUGUGGAAAGAGUCCCAACCUGACUGACUAGGAAUCUCUGGGGCCCUAGCCUCCACCUCAACACUUGCCAGCCCUAUACUGCUGACUGGCUAUGCAGCAGGGGCUGACUAUUCAACCCCUGGGGGUCUGCCUGUGCUUUUGAGCCCAAUCUCCUUAACUGCAGCCAAAGCCUUGCUGUUCCACCCUCCUAGGCCUAGCUCUUGGCCCAUGGCUGUGUUGGCUGGGAGGGCUGAGCCAUUGCUGUCUUUGCCUACUAAGUGGUCCUUCAGAACGCUGCUCAGCACCAUAGUCUGAAGGAGCCAUUAUGGAAGAAAGCAUGUGCUGUGGAGAACCCCUGUCCUGUGAGUCCUGGAUUUUCAGCUCUGCAACCUGGGCUGGGGGUGGAGCCGGGCCUCCUACAUGAUGUCCUCACACAAGUCCAGGCUUGUACAUAUAGGCUGGGCAGCCUCAUCUCUAGAAUACCCCCCAGAAAAAAAACGGCUGGAAAAAGUCAUGGCUGCUGCAUUAUAAGCCUGUCUACCAGCCCCCUCUGUCUGGGGGUCCCAACUGUCACCUUCAGUCCAGGUGAGACUCAGAAACCUAUGUUCGAGUAUGGGCAAGGUUCAAAACUUCUAGAGUUUUUUGUUUUGUUUUUGUUUUUGUUAUUUUCCAGGACAAUGAAGCCAGCCUUUUGGACUCUCUAAAAGAUACCUAGGUCCUGACUGCCCCUCACUGAGGCCAAAACUGUAACUCCACUUGGCUGGCCAGGCUGGUUCAUGGCCAUGCCAAGCAUCCCUACUGUCUGCUGGAGAGGCUUUUCUCUAAGUCUCUGAGGCCAAAUUCUCCUAGUAGCCCCUAUUCCUCAAGGCUACCUGAACAGGUGGCAACUCAUAAUCAGACACUUGGAGAGCGCUAGCGGGCAGCAAUUUCAGCAAAGCAGCUUGAGCCUUCCUAGCUCCCACGUGGAGUUUCCCUGGAAGGAAGCCAUGGUUCAUCCUCUAGACAGCUACAGCAGCAACAGUGGAGACUAGGGCUAAGACCUGACCAGCAGCCAGUCUUCUCCAUCCACUCCAUCACCCUGCUGCCCCCUGAAGCAGUCCACCUUCUGUUUGGGGAGGCCACCCUGAGAAAAAGCAAGGAAGCCCCAGGUUGGUGCCAAAAAGUGCCAGAAAGUAUAUGGCAUGGGACCUGUGGUGCUCAGCUUGUUGCUGGAAGAAAGCCUGCUAGCAGUUUCUGAACUGAGCCAAUCUGUGAUGCUACUCUACUGCCUGGCCUUCUUCUCACUCCUAGCCUGAAUCUACAGCAAACCUGUGGUGGGAUGUGACUCCUGGAGGUGGAGGGGUGACUGAAUACUCAAAGCACCUUGGAAGAAACCAAAAGCCAAACUGCUUGUUGUCUUUUGGCUUCAGGGGCAGUUUGCCUCCCUGUCUAUCACUUACCUACUUACCUUGCUAGAGCCAGUUUUAGAUGCAUUUGAGAAGGGUCAAGGAGAGGAGUCUCAUGCUCACAUUUAGUGAUUCCAGGACCGUGAGGCUGACAUUUUACCAUGUUAAUAAAGCACAGGGGUCUUGUGUCUUGGCCAUAGGCGUUGAGGAGAAAAAUUAAAAAUUGUGGGGAUUGUU